AAAUUGAAGAGUUUGAUCAUGGCUCAGAUUGAACGCUGGCGGCAGGCCUAACACAUGCAAGUCGAGCGGUAGCACAGAGAGCUUGCUCUCGGGUGACGAGCGGCGGACGGGUGAGUAAUGUCUGGGAAACUGCCUGAUGGAGGGGAUAACUACUGGAAACGGUAGCUAAUACCGCAUAAUGUCGCAAGACCAAAGUGGGGACCUUCGGGCCUCAUGCCAUCAGAUGUGCCCAGAUGGGAUUAGCUAGUAGGUGGGGUAACGGCUCACCUAGGCGACGAUCCUAGCUGGUCUGAGAGGAUGACCAGCCACACUGGAACUGAGACACGGUCCAGACUCCUACGGGAGGCAGCAGUGGGGAAUAUUGCACAAUGGGCGCAAGCCUGAUGCAGCCAUGCCGCGUGUGUGAAGAAGGCCUUCGGGUUGUAAAGCACUUUCAGCGGGGAGGAAGGCGUUAAGGUUAAUAACCUUGGCGAUUGACGUUACCCGCAGAAGAAGCACCGGCUAACUCCGUGCCAGCAGCCGCGGUAAUACGGAGGGUGCAAGCGUUAAUCGGAAUUACUGGGCGUAAAGCGCACGCAGGCGGUCUGUCAAGUCGGAUGUGAAAUCCCGGGCUCAACCUGGGAACUGCAUUCGAAACUGGCAGGCUAGAGUCUUGUAGAGGGGUAGAAUUCCGGUGUAGCGGUGAAAUGCGUAGAGAUCUGGAGGAAUACCGGUGGCGAAGGCGGCCCCUGGACAAAGACUGACGCUCAGGUGCGAAAGCGUGGGGAGCAAACAGGAUUAGAUACCCUGGUAGUCCACGCCGUAAACGAUGUCGAUUUGGAGGUUGUGCCCUUGAGGCGUGGCUUCCGGAGCUAACGCGUUAAAUCGACCGCCUGGGGAGUACGGCCGCAAGGUUAAAACUCAAAUGAAUUGACGGGGCCCGCACAAGCGGUGGAGCAUGUGGUUUAAUUCGAUGCAACGCGAAGAACCUUACCUGGUCUUGACAUCCACAGAACUUUCCAGAGAUGGAUUGGUGCCUUCGGGAACUGUGAGACAGGUGCUGCAUGGCUGUCGUCAGCUCGUGUUGUGAAAUGUUGGGUUAAGUCCCGCAACGAGCGCAACCCUUAUCCUUUGUUGCCAGCGGUUAGGCCGGGAACUCAAAGGAGACUGCCAGUGAUAAACUGGAGGAAGGUGGGGAUGACGUCAAGUCAUCAUGGCCCUUACGACCAGGGCUACACACGUGCUACAAUGGCAUAUACAAAGAGAAGCGACCUCGCGAGAGCAAGCGGACCUCAUAAAGUAUGUCGUAGUCCGGAUUGAGUCUGCAACUCGACUCCAUGAAGUCGGAAUCGCUAGUAAUCGUAGAUCAGAAUGCUACGGUGAAUACGUUCCCGGGCCUUGUACACACCGCCCGUCACACCAUGGGAGUGGGUUGCAAAAGAAGUAGGUAGCUUAACCUUCGGGAGGGCGCUUACCACUUUGUGAUUCAUGACUGGGGUGAAGUCGUAACAAGGUAACCGUAGGGGAACCUGCGGUUGGAUCACCUCCUUA
This 1530-nucleotide ribosomal RNA is filed under the name Klebsiella pneumoniae. RNAcentral's name for it is "bacterial SSU rRNA". It matches the Rfam family "Bacterial small subunit ribosomal RNA". Lineage: Bacteria; Pseudomonadati; Pseudomonadota; Gammaproteobacteria; Enterobacterales; Enterobacteriaceae. The record is from RNAcentral.